UAAAAGUGGGGAUAAUAGUCUUUGGGAAGGUACUGUGGCUGUGGUAUAGCAGGUAUAGUAAGUAGAGACAGUGCCUAAACUAGUAAUGGGAAUAGUAGGCUAAUGUUGUUCCAGAAAAUGUUGCCUCAGACCAAGUAACCUAAUGUACUGGCUGAAGCAAUGACAAUAAUUCAGGGAUCCGGGCCAUUAUUCACACUGGUUGGGUGAAUGUGAGCUCUCAAGGUCAGGGCAUAAACAACAGAAGCCCAAUAAGACUUAUUUACAUGUGAAGGCAAGUGACAACAUCAAUACUGUAAGUGUUAAGGGGGGAGAACAGGUUUCACUCCUAAUUCUGUGAGCUCCUGGGGGGUGCAGCUGUUGUAACAAAUCACUUUCUAAAAAAAAAUCCCAAGUAGGCUGUGCAUGCCUCUGGUCUAUGUCAGCUGUGAUAAGCUGAGAACCUGUGUCCUAGGGCAGAUAGAGAGGAGCAUUGAUAAGGGGACAUAUCGCCAAGUGUGGGUCAUAUAAGAGCUGGCUGAGCUUGCAGUCACUACUCGAUGGAUGCUCAUGGACUGGAGAGCCAUUCCCUUCUUCUCCCACAUCUGACUCAUGUACUGCAAGGAAGCUGUUGCCUAUUUUAUUUCUGGUAAAUGCAUCAUUUCUGAGAGGAAACGGAAAGCAGUGAUUAGCCAACACUCUCCAGCCCAAGGUUGAAUGAAGGUGCUAAGGUUUAGCCCAUAGCAGAUCAUAUGGUGUAGCUCAAUAUAUCUGGUAGAAGGAAGUUGAUACAGUGCAGCACAUAGCAGAUUACAUGAUGUAGCUGAAGAUGUCUUGUAGAAGUAAAGUGAUACAAUUCAACCCAUAGCAGAUCAUACAGUGUAGCAUAAGAAAUAAGCUACUAAGUUUCAGCCCAUUGCAGAUCGUAUGAUGUAGCUCAAGAUAUAUGGUAGACGAUGAUACAGUUCUGCCCAUAGCAAAUUAUACAAUAGAACUCAAAAUGUCUACUAGAAUCAAGGUGCUAAGGUUCAGCCCGUAGCAGAUCAUAAGAUAUCUUGUAGAACUAAGGUGCUAUGGUUCAGCCCUUCUCAUAUGUAGCUCAAGAUAUCUGGUAGAAGAAAGAGGAUACAAUUCAGCACAUAGCAGAUCAUACAGUGUAGCAUAAGAUGUCUUCUAGAAUAAAGGUGCUAAGGUUCAGCCCAUAGCAGAUCAUAAGAUGUCUUGUACAAUUAAGGUGCUAAGGUUCAGCCCAUCACAGAUCAUAAGGUGUAGCUCAAGAUAUCUGGUAGAAGGAAGAGGAUACAAUUCAGCUCAUAGUAGAUCAUACAGUGUAGCAUAAGAUGUCUUCUAGAAUAAAGGUGCUAAGGUUCAGCCCAUAGCAGAUCAUAAGAUGUCUUGUACAAUUAAGGUGCUAUGGUUCAGCCCAUCACAGAUCAUAAGGUGUAGCUCAAGAUAUCUGGUAGAAGGAAGAGGAUACAAUUCAGCUCAUAGUAGAUCAUACAGUGUAGCAUAAGAUGUCUUAUAGAAUUAAGGUGCUAUGGUUCAGUCCAUAGUAGAUCAGAAGAUGGAGCUUAAAUGUCUUGUAGAAGGAAGACAAUACAGUUCAGCCCAUAGCAGAGCAUACAGUAUAGCAUAAGAUGUCUUGUAAAACCAAGGUGCUGAGGUUCAGCCCAUAGCAGAUCAGUCAGUAGAGCUCAGUAGAGCUCAAGAUGUCUUGUAGAAGAAAGGUGAUACAAUUCAACCAACAGCACAUUGUGCACAUACGAUGUAGGCAGGACAUUGUAGACACACACACCCACACACACACAUAUAUAUAUGUCCACUUGCUUUGUCUAUGGUGUCUAACCAACACUUGUGUGUGCUAGGGUGCCACAUGUGAAGACUAAGUCACUGUUUGAGGUCUAGGUGUAUUAGCAUUACUCACUUUUUUGAUGGAAGGGAGGAAGAAAGGAUUCUGUAUGUAUAUAAAUCAAGUAUACAGUUGAGUUUAGCAUACAACUGCCCUGCCAUCAUCACCGCUAACCUUCCUCAUGUCUGCUCUCCUCUGAGGAUCUUCUCUCUCUAUCUGUACAUCCAUUUCCAGCUGAGACUCUUUAUCUCCUGAUAUAUUCUGCAUUUCUCUCUGUAAUGCUAUAAUAUAUUCUGCGUGUCCCUCUGCAAGGCUCUGUUAUAUUCUUCUCUCUGUAAGCUUGUGCUCUGCUCUCUGUAAUGCUCAUAUAUAAUAUUCUGCAUUCCUCUCCGGAAGCCUGUUUCUCAUUCAACUCUGCAUUUCUCUCGAAGUCUCCCACCUGUUCCAUUCUGCAUUCCUCUGUGUACACCUGUUUUCUGACUAUAUUUCUCUUGGUGAACCUUUAAUUCUCCAUUAAAUCUUUCAUUUCUCUCUGUAAAACCAA
Long non-coding RNA from Xenopus laevis (African clawed frog), 2369 nucleotides. RefSeq lists it as uncharacterized. The record is from RefSeq and is a predicted model, not a curated record. NCBI's taxonomy places the organism in Eukaryota, Metazoa, Chordata, Amphibia, Anura, Pipidae. The transcript is spliced from 2 exons.